Molecule: long non-coding RNA, 615 nt
Organism: Carassius gibelio (silver crucian carp)
Lineage: Eukaryota; Metazoa; Chordata; Actinopteri; Cypriniformes; Cyprinidae
Exons: 3
Source: RefSeq, a predicted model, not a curated record
AUGUCUACUGGAACUAAUGCCAUUGCGUGACUAGAUCACUUAAGCCAAAUCUCGCGAUAAACAUUUCCGCCAUUUUAUUUUACACGAGGCAGCUGUCGGAGUGCAACGGGUGAGCAACAGUCUGAGUGAAAACCUUCACAUUUCUACUUCGAUCUUAAGAAAGCCAUACAGGUUUGGAACCAAGUGAAAACGCAGUGAUGACCAGCUUUCCAUCAGCUAUGGAAUGUGAAAUAAAAAAUGCUAUUUCUAAUAAUUUCAAACAAGCACCAGGGAGGGCAGGGGGUGGGGGUUAUGGAUCUAAAGUAAACAGUUAAUUCUUAAAAAUUAAUUGUUUUACAUAUUUUUCCAAUGUUUUAUUUGUUCAUUUUUAUGUUUGAAUGUUGUCCAAGUUGUUGUUGUCUAUAUAAUUGUUCAAAAUAAAUCCCUUUAUAUUCAAUUUGUUUGGAUGGAUUUUAAUUUGAGAACCUGUUAUAUUUGAGUGAAAAGAAUCCUUAUGCCUCAUUUUGUUGUCUAUUACAUGUAUAUGUAGUGUAAUGGAUGACUAGUCUAUUCUUGGGCUAUGGUUAGACGUCUAUUAGAUUUUCACUGACAGCCCAAAAUCAGCCUUGUUUUAGC